Molecule: non-coding RNA, 1927 nt
Organism: Pantherophis guttatus
Lineage: Eukaryota; Metazoa; Chordata; Lepidosauria; Squamata; Colubridae
Source: RefSeq, a predicted model, not a curated record
UCUCAGCGCUACGAAAUUUGGGAGGAGACAAGAUAUAUUCGCGCCUCGCUCUAACUGCCAGCGCCGGCUGCCUCUGCUCCGACGCAUACGCUUUUUGGAAGACUAGCCCAAGGAGCGUUCAGCCGGAAUAACUUUUGCAUCAGAGUUCCGGAGUUGAAGGCGUGUGGACCAGUUACCGCUGUGAAUGUCAGGCUGGUUGAUUUUAUAAUUUAUUUUAAGACGAAGGCUGUAAGCCAUGUUGAAUAGGCAAUUCCGCUCAAUGCGAAUUAGACUGCCCUUGAAUGGCAUUUGGCAGAAGAGGCCCCGGCGGAAACCUGUCUGACCAGUGUAUCCCACCUUCUGCCCCAUCGUGGGAGAAGAGCUAUCAAUGGCUGCUGAUUGGAAUUGUGGAUUCUAGAGAGACACCUUCAGGAGAAAUAAGACCAUUACAACACUGAACUUUUGCUUUGGAAAAAAUUUUGAACUUUUGAUAACAGUCAUGAGAACUUCUAAGGAGGAUUUGUUUGUCUGCAAGCGGCUUGACUUUGCUUAAAAUAAAAAGAGGAAUACAACAAAACUUUUAAAUGGAACAAUAUCAAUUUGGAAAGAAUAAAAUGGCAUAGGAGAUUAGGGAAAUGAUGAAAAUGAUGUAUUUGUCACUGAAAAUGGAAAUAAGGGAAAUAAUUAUAAUGUUACAUGAAGAACCGAAAUCUGAUGAUCCAAAAAUUGUGUUAGAGUAUAAUCAAGUGACAAGGAAACAACAAUUGAGAAGCAAGACAUAGAGACUGAAAAUAAAGAAGAAGACAAAGACAGCAAGAUUGACUAUGGGAAUUUAAAUGAGUUUUGGAUAGUAACAAUAAAAAUGAGAAUUUUAAAGAAUACAUUGGGAUUAAUAAUGGAAAAAACAGAAAGGUUGGAAAGAGACAAAGAGGGGAAAAAGGGUGGAGAAUGAAUAUUUAAAAAUUAAAUAAUUACAUUGGGAUUAACAGUGGAAAGACAAGAAAGAGGGAAAAGGGAUGGAAAACAACAGGAAGUACAGGGCAAAAUAGAAGAGUCCAUGACUUUGAGAUACAAAAUGAUUACACUGGGAUUAACUGGAAAAAUAAGAAAAAGAGAAAAGAGAUGGGAAAUAAUGGGAAAUACAGGGCAAAAUAGGAGAGUUCAGGAUUUUAAAGCACAAAAGAAAAAAAGGGGAAAGAAAAAGAAAAAAAUAAAAACAGAAAGGGAGAAAUGGAGAAAGAAAUGAAAGAGGAAUAUGUUAUAUAUACUUAGAAUUGAAAUAUGAAUUGAUGUAAGAUUUAUAUAUGUAAUGAGUAUUAAGAAAAAGUUGAGAAUGUGAAAACUGGAUGUAUGGAAAUUUAAAAAGUUGAAAUGAUAUUAUAUUAUGAAUUAAUUAGAUGGUGAAAGUAGAAAUGAUUAAGUUGUUUGAAAAGGUAUAAAUACAUAUGUUUGAUAAAAUAAUUGAAAAUUAGAGAAGAUUCAAGGAAAUAUAUGGUGAAAAAUUUGGUUUAUUAUAUAAAGAGAAAAGAUGGCUAUGUAACUGACUUUUAUUAAGAUGUUGGAUUGUAUUAUUUAGAACAAGAUUUAAGGAAAUGUAUGGUAUAAAACAAUUGGGUUUAUUAUCCUUAUAAAAAAUGAAUGAUUGUAACACCACAUAAUUGAUUUGUAUUAAGAUGUUGGAUAUUGAAAUAGCUGACAAUGGAAAACAUUAAUGAUUAUAUUAAGGGAAUAUAAGGAAAUACUAGGAAUUAUAUUAUGUGAGAUUUUAAAUUUGAGGGGUUUAAUAUAGAGAUGAAGGGAAAAACUGAAUUUGGCUAAAAUUAAAGGUUAGGAUGAAGGGAAAUAUUGGUUUUUUAAAAAAUAGAAUAAAUAUUAUGGCAAAAAGGGAAUAUAUAAGUUGUAGAUUUAUGACAAAUUAAAUUUAUCAUUUAGUUGAAAUGACUAAAAA